AGCCACAUCAUGUUAAAACACCAAUUCCUAUAUGGUCCCUGAAGUUAAGCAACAUUAAGCCUGGUCAGUACCUAGAUGGGUGACCACUUGGGAUAACAGUUGCUGUAAG
This is a non-coding RNA of Acanthosepion pharaonis, 109 nucleotides long. The record is from the annotation of a GenBank genome assembly. Lineage: Eukaryota; Metazoa; Mollusca; Cephalopoda; Sepiida; Sepiidae.